GGCUCGGUGGUGUAGUUGGUUAUCACGUCAGUCUAACAACUGUUGGCACACUGAAGGUCCCGAGUUCAAACCUCGGCUGAGUCA
This 84-nucleotide transfer RNA is filed under the name Dendryphion nanum. RNAcentral's name for it is "tRNA-Val". The record is from RNAcentral. Lineage: Eukaryota; Fungi; Ascomycota; Dothideomycetes; Pleosporales; Torulaceae.